GGUGGCGCUAAAACUAAAACCGAUAUUCGGCAAAGAUGCGGCAGAGAUACCCACGGAGCCGCGAAGACACAGCCAGCACAAUAAGUACAUUCGACAUAGUUUGGUUAAGUAGAAUAGAAGCUGAACCUACGAAACAACCCUAAACCCCUCCUUCUAGAACUUUCAUGUCCAUCUUGCCCUCACAAACCCAAGCGGCAUCUUCGUCUUCUUCCUCUGCGCCAUCUCCCAACCCUAAUCCCCAACAUGGAACCGGAAACCCUAUUCCUCAACCCUUCUCUUCUCUUUCCCCCUCACCAAUCAACCUCGCUUUCGGAUCUCUCCAGAUCUCCGAUACCCCAGGUUCGUCGUCUUCAGCCGCUCAAGAUUCUGGUGGAUCUUCCGGAAAGGUGACAGAAGUAGGGUCUCCAAGUGGAGUGAUGGUUUCACCUGAACAAAACUCUAGAACACGUUCUAGGAGUCACGGGGCAAGAUGGACCCGAACGUGAACUGGAACAGUUUCAUAUCAUAGAAAUCAACAAACUCCUGGGUCCGUCAGUUCUCAUGGAAGUGCCCCUUUGCCGGGGAGAAAAGCUCAGACGGUGAAUGGGAACUACUUGCUGAAUUUUCAAUAUGACCCAAUAUCCCGUUCUCAACCACGGGGUCCUCCUCCUCCUCCUACAACAAGAAGGCAUCGGAAGAGGAAGCCGUACAGCAAAGAUUUGUUUUUGCAGGCGAAUUACAAGUUCACGGUACUAGGUUCGGGAAAUUAUUCGCCUGAGUCGAUGGAUCCAGAUAAAAUGUUGCAGUGGGAAGAUAUUAUAUGCGUGACAUAUUUGACCCCUUUUUCAGUUCAGUGUCCAAUUUGUUUGGAGUAUCCCCUGUGUCCGCAGAUAACCUCAUGUGGACAUAUUUUCUGUUUCCCAUGUAUUCUACAGUACUUAUUGAUGGGUGAAGCGGAUCACAAAGGUGAUAGCUGGAAAAGGUGUCCUUUGUGCUUUGUGAUGAUAUCUGCCAAGGAUUUAUAUACGGUGCACAUCACAAAUGUCAAACAGUAUCAAGUACGAGAUAAUGCUGAGUUCACCUUUUUAACGCGGAAAAAGGAUUCCUUUACUCUGUCACUUAAAAAUAAACAAGAGACAAAUAUCACAUCACGUGCCAAUGAAGAUAUCUGCGAUCCCUUUUCUAAGUUCACUCUUACAUCAGAUGUAGAUCUCUCGGUGAGACAUGCAAUAUCUGAUCUAGAUGGUUGGCUAGCCAGAGCUGAUUCAGGUCUUGUUGAUGACCUGGAGAAGCUUCCUUAUGUUUGUGCUGCAAUGCAACAAUUAGAACAGAGGAAGAGGUAUUGGAGUGAGCUCAGGUCUCAUGACAGUGAAAAAUCUUCUAAGCUUAAUGAUUACGAACAUCAGAUACCGUCAACAGUUGCAAAUUCUGUGGAUAGUGACGAUGAAAACUGUUCUAAUGGAUCAAGAACUUCCUCUUCUGAUUUCCUUGAUCAAAAUAAGGUUAUGAUGUUGGAUAAGUCAACUGCCGGAAUCUGUUUGGAUCAAAAGUUGGAUGUGGAGAAAGAAUUAAUAGAGCAGGAAAUGAAUUUAUCUUCUUCAUAUGAGGAGAAAAACGAUAUUCAAAGGCAUUCAAGUGGUGUUGUUGGAGAUGUGAAGGAAAAUGAUUCAUACAGUUUCUACCAGGCUGCUGAUGGUCAGCAUCUAAUUCUUCAUCCUCUGAAUAUGAAGUGUUUGCUUCACCAUUAUGGGAGCUAUGAUAUGCUUCCUCACAGAAUAAGUGGAAGGAUCCUACAAUUGGAGUCAGUUACUCAGUCUGAGGCCAUCAGGAGGCGCUAUCGAUUCCUUAGUCAUUUUCCAUUAACCACAACCUUUCAGCUUUGUGAAGUUGAUUUGAGUGAGAUGUUGCCUCCUGAAGCAUUUUCCCCAUUUAUGGAUGAAAUCAAGAAGCGUGCAAAUCAGAGGAAGCAACUUGCUAAAAAGGAAAAGAAGGAAAAAAUAAUGGCUGAAGCUACUGCUGCUUAUUCUCUUCCCAUAUCAUUAAGUCAUCAGUUUACUUCUCGCAAUGAUCCUCCGACAUUCUCCAUGGAUGACUUUGAAGCUCUUGGAAAUUCAACCAUAUCAUCAAGUCCUCCCUUAGCUGGGGAGAGAAAAUCGUUCUCAAAUGUUACUAGGCUUGGGUUUGCUGCUGCUCAUGAUUCUCCAUCCUUACAAAUUCAAGAAACUAGUGGUCUGCAUAAUAACAACACAACUGCUGAUUCUUCUGUCACAACAGGUUUGAGAAAUGGGGAGACACAAUCAUACUCCAAUGUUACAUCAAGAACAGAAUCUAAUAUAAGCUCGAAUGCACCAAAGACAAAUGAGUUGGGGAAGAAGGGAAAGAAACCAAAUCGAGUUCUUCUGUCAACAGCUGGUGGUAGGCGCUAUUGAUUUUGGUUGCCGACCCUUACCCUAGAUUAUGCGAGUGUCAAUGAUUCUCAGCCUCCUCCCUGCUAUAGUCCCAAGCCAAACUCUCUGGCAGAUGAUUUCAGUGUAGAGUUAGUAACGUUCUACGGAUCAUAUUUAUGCACCUCUUAACUACUUGUAGGUAGGUAGGCAUGUGUGGAGAGAAUAAAUGUUUUUAGCAAUAAACAAGCCACAACUGUUAGAAGGUCAGUAUAUUGUUUCUGUGGAUCUGUAGAACUGUGCUGGCGUUGGGUAUGUUAAUUAAAUCCAGACUAUGAGCAUUGACUAUACACAAGACAUUUAAAUUUGGAAGCGGGUUUUGUUAACUACAGAUUGAUUUUUUAAACAAAC
RNA transcript from Glycine soja, 2774 nucleotides. It is a transcript of the gene named RING finger protein 10-like, with no coding region annotated. The transcript has 9 exons. The record is from RefSeq and is a predicted model, not a curated record. NCBI's taxonomy places the organism in Eukaryota, Viridiplantae, Streptophyta, Magnoliopsida, Fabales, Fabaceae.